AUGGAUUUGGGGCAGCUGCAGAGGGAGCCACAGAGUGAAGGGGCAGGGGAGCAGGUGGGGCAGGAGGGUCUUGAGGGGAUAGGGAGAGUUUGAGGGCUUCAGGGUGGACCGUGGUUUCUAGUGGUUUCUAGGAGAGGUAGGGGGUCCAGGUGGAGAGCCGGCGGGGAGUGGCAUCCCAUGCAACAGUAGCAGCGCCCAGAGGCCCCACGUCCCCAGGCCCCACAUGUGCACAGCCCCAGGUGCCGAGAGCAGCGUGCGUGUGCACCUGCAGGUGUAAAGAGCACCUGGCCACACACCUGUGAAGAGCCCGCCUUUUGUCCUUCCCACACAGGAAUGGCAGGCUCCCAGCUGCCCCCGCCACUUCUGCUGCUGGCUCUGGUGCUGCUGCUGGGGAAUUUCUCUUCACAGACACCUCCAGAGCAGACUCAAUGGAGCGGCGCCCCUAGUUCAGGGGAAGACUCCAUGAUCUCCCAUAGGUCUUCAAGUUCAGAGGCAAACCCCACCAUCCAGCCCAGCUCCAGCUCCACAAGUCCAGGGUUGGCGCCCACCUUCCCACAACCAGAAACAGUCACCCCCUCCCAGUUCUGGCUCCCCCAGUUCAGAGCUCACCACUACCUCCCACUCCGCAAAUUCCACCACCUUGACCCUGCAUUGGAGCUCCUCUUCUCCCAGCCCCAGAACAGAGCCCCCCUCCAUGCCCUCCAACACCACUGAUGGGACCUCUGUGGCCACUGGCCCUGCGAGUCCGGGAGUCGGUGGAUUCUGGUGUGGUCCCCAUGAGCCCACUUGGCAGUGGUGUCAUCCGGAGAAGGUUCUCAGGGACCCCACUGCUGCCACCGCUGUCAAGCCGCCUUGGAACCCCUGGAGAGGUUGAGCCCAGUGCCUGCGUCGUAUUCACCAUCGAGGCUCGAGGGACAGAGCCAAGCCACCAUCCAGCCCCAGGAAGGUGAGGAGGCAGAUGGGGAACAAGGGGGCCAGUCUCAGGAGACAGAGAGUGCCUCAUCUAGAUGAACCUUUCUCUAACUUGUUCAGAAAACAUUUAUUAAGCACCUACUGUGUGCCAGGACUUGCACUAGGAACAUAGCCAUGGGCAAGCAGGUGCUCAAUGGCUGAUGAUGGAGAGAGACUUAUACCAGGUGGAGAGAUCAGGGUGCCAUGGGAAUCCAGAGGAGGCUUCUGACCCAGCAUUGGGGGUUACAAACAAGGUGAGGAAAGGACUACUUGGAAGAGGUGGCAUCUAAGGUUGGCAUGAAGGAUGAAAAGGAGUCAGUCACAGAAGCACAGAGAAACAUAUGCCAAUUAGAAGGAAGAGAUUGUACAAAGCCUUGGACUCAAGAAGAUCAGGUGUAUGAGGAACUGAACACAGACUGGAGGGGAG
This 1378-nucleotide long non-coding RNA is filed under the name Canis lupus familiaris (dog). RNAcentral describes it as "lncRNA (ENSCAFG00845022875.1)". The record is from RNAcentral. Lineage: Eukaryota; Metazoa; Chordata; Mammalia; Carnivora; Canidae.